This 340-nucleotide long non-coding RNA is filed under the name Salvia miltiorrhiza (redroot sage). RNAcentral describes it as "long non-coding RNA (SMIL_LNC002634)". The record is from RNAcentral. Lineage: Eukaryota; Viridiplantae; Streptophyta; Magnoliopsida; Lamiales; Lamiaceae.
GUCUCUUUUAUGCUGCUUUUCGAUUUCCAAAUUCAAAGGUACAAGAUGUUCCUUUCCUUUGGAUCUCGUGAUCAUACACUCCUGAGACAACAAACAAAAAUCAGAAACAGAAACUAAAAACUAAAAAAANAAACUUAUAACGCCUGAAAUAAUGCUUAAGUCUAGUCAGAAAUAUUAAAGUAAAUUCUAAAUAGUCCCCGGCAACGGCGCCAAAAAGUUGAUCGCUAAUUUCUUAACAACAAUAACUGGAACUAAACAGUGUAAUUGUAGCACAGAAAUAGCAAGUCGAGUAUCGUAUCCACAUGGACUAUUAUAACGAAUCACCUUAAGUAAUCCUAAC